RNAcentral lists this ribosomal RNA (603 nucleotides) under uncultured marine picoplankton. RNAcentral's name for it is "SSU rRNA". It matches the Rfam family "Eukaryotic small subunit ribosomal RNA", at positions 620 to 1215 of the family's 1831-position model. The record is from RNAcentral.
UAAAAAGCUCGUAGUUGGAUUUCUGUUUUGAAUGUCCGGUCGGUCUAUUAAUUUAGAUGUGUACUAUGGAUGUUUGGAUCAUAUUUUGUGAGAGCCUGUUACUGUCAUUAAGUUGUCUGGUAAUAUGGACUUGCAUCGUUUACUGUGAAAAAAUUAGAGUGUUUAAAGCAGGCGUUUAGCUUUUGAAUACAUUAGCAUGGAAUAAUAAGAUACGACUUUGGUGGUCUAUUUUGUUGGUUUGCACACCAGAGUAAUGAUUAAUAGGGACAGUUGGGGGUAUUCAUAUUUGAGCGUCAGAGGUGAAAUUCUUGGAUCGCUGAAAGAUGAGCUUAGGCGAAAGCAUUUACCAUGGAUGUUUUCAUUAAUCAAGAACGAAAGUUAGGGGAUCGAAGAUGAUUAGAUACCAUCGUAGUCUUAACCAUAAACUAUGCCGACUCGGGAUUGGCAGUUGUUAAUUAAUGACAUUGUCAGCACCGUAUGAGAAAUCAAAGUCUUUGGGUUCCGGGGGGAGUAUGGUCGCAAGGCUGAAACUUAAAGGAAUUGACGGAAGGGCACCACCAGGAGUGGAGCCUGCGGCUUAAUUUGACUCAACACGGGGAAACU